RNAcentral lists this long non-coding RNA (302 nucleotides) under Malus domestica (apple). RNAcentral describes it as "long non-coding RNA (MDOM_LNC009147)". Lineage: Eukaryota; Viridiplantae; Streptophyta; Magnoliopsida; Rosales; Rosaceae. The record is from RNAcentral.
UUAAAAUACUUAAACAAACAUAAAACUCAAAACAGCAACCUAAUGACUCAAAACUGCCUAAAAACAACUUUCUGGGCAGUUUUGAGAACCUAACAAGAACUUGGACGAAGUUGGAUGAAAACUUGAAUCAAAACACUUUCUAACUAAUCUAAGACUUCAAAAUAAAGGGGGAUUUGUUUUGGACGAAAAUUGAAAACAAAACAGAAACUUUAAAACAAAACAGAUUGUAAAACGUUUUUGGAUGAAAAUGGAUGGAUAAAAGGCUAGUUAGGAGGUUCUUCUCCACACAUGACACACUUGCA